RNAcentral lists this small RNA (17 nucleotides) under Arabidopsis thaliana (thale cress). RNAcentral describes it as "ATSL223970". Lineage: Eukaryota; Viridiplantae; Streptophyta; Magnoliopsida; Brassicales; Brassicaceae. The record is from RNAcentral.
GCAAAACCAAAAAAAAA